CCAUCAAUUAAUUUUUAUAAAAGAACCAGAACCAUUUUGAAAAAGUUCAAUUGUCUUUUAAAUGAAAAUUAGAUAAAUAACUUCAUUUUAUUGGGAAAAAUUAUUAUGAUCUGAGAGAUAGACCUAGCAGGCUUUUUAGCCUUCAAUUAAAAAUAUCAAUCCUGCAGUACAGUCCCCAAAUCUUUCAUCCACAAAUGAGCAGAAUUCAGAGAACUGUACUAGAGAAUAACAAUUGACAAUGAUAUCUUUGUGAUUCCACAGUCUUUAGGAGAAAUUAGACUUUUUUAAACAAUAUAUCCUGACACUGACCAAAUAAAUAUUCAAGUUCUUAAAAACUCCAGGUACUGUCUUGACCCAACAAUUGAGAAGCUAAUGGGCUUUUCAAACAAUGAACAUUUCCCAUGAGCUUUAUGCCUUUCUAGAAUUCAGAUACAAUCUUGAGGCAAAUAAAGAAUAAAAAGAGCUCCUUUCUUUAUGACUAGGGUGUCAGCAUACAAAUGUGUAAGGAGGCUAUGUGAGUUCCUGAUUACUCUUUGUGGCAAUGUGACUGGUGAUACAAAGGGCACAGAAUGUCCGUGUUUUUACAGCUUUUCACAUUUUCAUUUCCACUAUUUUUCUUCAAAUCCCACAUAAAGGUCUGUAGCCCUGGGCAUCCUGUGCACCGGCUCCUAUUUUUUUAUUACUGUAAUAGCAUUUGUCAAUGCACAUUGAGUUAAUCUAAAGAAACAGAAACAUCUAGGAGCCCUGUAGAAAAUUUUACAACAGAGCCAACAGUGACCAACUCAUUUGUUCCCAUCUACUCAAAGGUGACAAUGGCCUCCAUUCCAAACAUGAUAAUCCCACUGAAACAAGACGGAAUGGACCAUUUUCUGAAGAGCAUCGCCUUUCUAGUUAAGGGAUGGAAGCAUUUGCUGAAAUGCGAUCUCUAUAAUAGCAAGAUAGAGACAGAGAGAGGGAGAGACAGAAAGAGAAGCUGAGAAACAUAGAGCGAAGUCGCCACUGCUGAGGUUACAGCAAGAGCUUUGCAUUCAACAUAUUCCUGUGCAUUUCUACAUGGUUAAAGUUUCCAAGAAAAACUUGGAGAAAUAGUCGUUGAUGGCAAUCUAGUUGAAAAAAAUGAGAAAUAAUACUUAGCCCUGUUAAUAUAGUACUAUUUUACUACAAAGUUUUUGUUUUUACUUCUGUCAAUCCCGUAUCACCUAUUGGCUCUACACAUUUUAAUUCGCUAUAUUUCUUAUCUUUCAAGUGAACAGUUUUUGAAAUGAAUGGUAAAAUGAACAAUUAUACAUCAAAAUGUUCAUCUAUGCAACAUGUUGCAUAUCAUGGUGGAACAUACCCGACUUUAAGGAACAGUGAUUUUAACAGGUGAACUCCUCACUAGGAACAAUGGAGGCAACUGUGAAGUUUGGACUUUAUUUAUUUAUUUAUUUGAAAGGCAGAGUUACAGAGAGAUGGAGAGAUAGACAUAGACAGAGAUAGAGAGAGAGAGAGAGACAGAGAGAGAGAGAGGUCUUCCAUCUGCUGGUUCACUCCCCAAAUAGCCACAAUGGCUGGAACUGGGCCGAUCUGAAGCCAGGAGCUUCUUCCGGGUCUCCCACAUGAGUGCAAGGGCCCAAGGACUUGGGCCAUCCUCCACUGCUUUCCCAGGCCAUUAGCAGGGAGCUGGAUCGCAAGUGGAGCAGAUAGGACUCGAACUGGCACCCAGAUGGGAGGCCAGCACCACAGGCAGGGGCUUAACCUACUAUGCCACAGUGUCGGCCCCUCUCUUAGCCCUUGAGCCCUGAGUUCCUCGCCUGAAGAUGUGAGGGACAGACAAGGAGUGACAGACUCGUGGUACUGCUGCAGUUUGCCAUCUCCUUCCGUAACAAUCGCCUUCAACAGCCAUCAGAUGUGUGUCUCAUUCGUUCUUUCAGCUGCUCUGAGGCAAAUGCAGCUGUAGCAGCCAUCGUGCUGUCCUUUUACCUAUUGUGUCCGCUGUAGUGAUUUUCAAGUACGUAUUACGAACGUCCAUGAAUCUACCACGUAACUCCAGUCAUAUCAACAUCUCACUAACCUCACUUAUUCAAGCAUAUUUAUUGUAAAGGGUAUAUGCAAAAAAUAAAAUGGAAUAUAGUUAAUGCCA
RNAcentral lists this long non-coding RNA (2122 nucleotides) under Oryctolagus cuniculus (rabbit). RNAcentral describes it as "lncRNA (ENSOCUG00000030598.1)". The record is from RNAcentral. Lineage: Eukaryota; Metazoa; Chordata; Mammalia; Lagomorpha; Leporidae.